Molecule: long non-coding RNA, 3609 nt
Organism: Xyrauchen texanus (razorback sucker)
Lineage: Eukaryota; Metazoa; Chordata; Actinopteri; Cypriniformes; Catostomidae
Exons: 3
Source: RefSeq, a predicted model, not a curated record
UGCUUUUAUUCAUCCUUGUGCAAAUUCAUUUCUUUUUCCAUUUGCCAGUCGAAUUAAAAAAAAAAUUACAUAAAUGACAUUGGACACUUCACUCGUGUAAAAAACAUAGAUAUUUCAAUCCCCUCUCCCACUUGCCACUGCCACUGGACUUACUGGUUGGCCCAUGGACUUACAUUAUAAGUGCAUCUCUGUAUGUUUUAAUUUUUUCUAUAUAAUUUCCCCAGUUUUUAGUUCGUAUUUAACCCAGAAUGUUCCUUUUAAGCAACUUUAUAUUCUGGAGUCUCUAAAUCCUAUGAAAUAUUUCCCAUGCAUGGUUUCACUUUGUGACCUCUGAAAUGAUUCAGGCCUGUUCCUGUUUUCCAUCUGUAAACAAGCUAGUUGACUAAUUGGUUGUAAAACAGAGGAAGUCUUACCUCUUCUUUUAUUAGCUUACUAAAUGUAAGAGACUAACAUCAUGCUGCAGAAAUGUUGGGGAGUAACAGAAUAUGUAACGGGAUUGUGUAUUUAAAAUACAAAAUUAAAGUAACUGUAUUCCACUACAGUUACAAUUUAAAUCAUUGGUAAUAUAAUACAGUUACAUUCAAAAAGUAUUUUGAUUACUGAAGAGAUUUCAUCUUAGUACGUUCUGAAAUUCUGAGUGACCAGGGAAUGUGAGCGUUCCGCAAAAAAAAUAAAAAUAAAUAAAUUUCCACAGGAAUGUGAGGAAGUUUCAGAUAUCACAGACACAGCUUGUUGGUUUCAGCUUGUAUUCCGGGAAAUUUCAACUGGGAGAGCUUCUUUCAACCAUCUGCGGUUCUCAUUAAACCCUUCUACUCUUUCACCUUAAAUAAUGAUGUAAAACAUUUACAUUUAUGAAAGGAUUUUGGUUUAAACAUAACUAAUUGAAUCAUUACACACUUUUCCACCAUCUGGCCUAUUGGUUCGGAGCAUGGUGAGUAACAGUUCCAGUGACAUUUCCAGUAGAGCACGGUUCGGUGCAGUACAAGUAAUACAGACCAUACUGGGAGAAUGUUAGACUCAGUCGCCAUUCAAUUAAAAAAAUGCAAUGAAAGUGAAUGGUGACUAAGCAACACAAAGGUCAUACAAGUUUGGAAUGACAUGAGGGUGAGUAAAUUAUAAAAUAAUUAAAAUUUUUGGGUGAACUAUCUCUAUAAAAUAACACUAUACCUCGAGAAAUACUGACUUGCGUAAAAGUCGACAACUAGCCCUGGUCUCCCCAAUAAUGCUUGGAAAUUAAGACAAAAUUGAACUAAACAAGGAAGCAACAGCCAGCUACAUUUUGAGAUUUGUCCAGAAAUGGUUAAGUGUUUUGGUUAGUUGUGCCAUUCUUGGAAAAAUCCAACCAACAAACAACCAUCGGCCACAUAUUCUCACUGAUCUCUCAUCAAGACUAGAAAAGUGGACGAAUCCCAUGGUAACCAGCAGUCAAGAAACCCUUUCUCCUCGCAGUUCCUCCAAGCAUGUUUGCCUGAGGACCGGUAUAUCUUUGUUCUCCAUCCAUCCUCCCAUAUGUAGCACCUCCCUCCAUCCCCCUAUGUGUAUUCCAAGCCCAGUUGCAGUUAGGCUCAGCCUGAGGAAUUGGGGAGCUGGGCUAAUGAAAUCCAGGCUGUUUCCAUAGAUCUAACUUGGUUCUUUUCUCUAUUGUUUUUGUAUCAGUAACAUGCUUCUACACGCAUUUAUCACAUUUCUCUUGUGGGAGUAUUCUUUUAUGGGACGUGAAGAUCAGUAGAAUCUAUAUCACAGUUUUUCAUAGAUUAAUGAAGCAAAACAAGCUUUGGCUGAAGUUUAGCAAAGUAUGGGUUGGUUUUAGUGAUAAAACGCUAUCUUGCCUCAUAGCAUUAGAAGAAACAUAAUCAGAAACUAGAUGAAUGAUGGUUGUGUAACCGAUCCUGCUUGACCCGCUCUGAGCAGGAUUCGAGCUGGCGCCGCCGGCAUGGGAGGCAUGCGCGCUAAUGAGAAGGCUAAAGGGUACAGUCUCUAGCAUCAGACAUUAGUGUGCCACUUGAGGCCAGGGGAGUGAGGUUUAUACACACUGCACAGCAAUUAUGUACAAGCUGGCUCCCAUUACACUCACCCCUAAACCUCACUCCCAUCCGGGUCACGGCACCACUGUAACCGGUCCUGCUCUAAUCGUUUCGAGCAGGAUUCGACUGGCAUCGCCAGCAUGGGAAGCGGACACACUAACAAGGAGGCUAAAGGCUACAGCCUCUAGUAUCAGACAUUAGUGUGCCUCUUGAGGCCAGGGGAGUGAUGUUUACACACACUGCACAGCAAUCAUGUACCAGAUGGCUCCGGUUACACUUGUCAGUGUAAAACUUGCCACCACAGUUCUGAAGUAUUAGGUUCCCUUUUUAAAAUCAAAAGUUCUGGAAAACCUCUGUGGCAAACUCUUCAUUGUUGCCGUACUAGUUUCCACAUAAGUGUUUGCUAGUAGCUGCAAAUUGUCCAUUGCUGCCGUUUGCUUCAGGUUCAACACUAUCAGUGAAGAGCUACAAAUAUGGGUGUUCUGGCUGCUUGCUAGAGCAUUGCUGGGUGGUUGCUAGGUUAUUGCCUACUGGACCAAGUCAAAAUAGUCCUGCCACACUGCUAGAGUUUUGUGGUUGCCAGAGCAUUCUAAGUAGUUGCUAAGGUGUUUUGAGUGGUCUUAGUUUGUUGCUUUGCGAUUGCUUAUUAGACCAAGUCAAAAAAGCUCAGCCAUGACAUUACGGUGUUGUGGGUGGUUGCCAGGGCAUUGCUGUGUGGCUGCUUAUGUGCUCUGAGUGUUUUUAUGUGCAUUGCUAUGCACUUUCUAAAGUGUUUUGGAUGAUUGCCAUUGUGUUGCCAUGGUCUAGUGAGGACUCCACAUGGUUUAGGCCUCAGGUUCCAGAGAGCCACUAUGGUGGCACAGUUGCAUCGCGCUCUACAAAAGCAAUAGUUAUGUUUCUAUCUCCCUUUAAAUGCUUUUUGUGGUUGCUGCGGUAACCGUAUUUUUCGGGCCUUCUCUUUAAGGGUAUUUCGUUUUUGUCCCGGAUUCCACAGCUUGCACAAAGCACUGAUUGUCUCCCACAGUAACACAGUUAGGAGGGGUGGAGGGGGCAGCACUUGAGUAAAUGCCAUUGGUUUCUCUUUAAGAUGACUGGUUGUUCGGUCACUGUCCUGGCUGCAAGACUGUCCUGUACACACGGAUAAACUUUUACAGUAUGUGAUAAUCCUCUUAUGUGGACUCAAACAAUAACAGUUCAAUCAAGUUCGUUAACCCCCAGACGCAUUGCAUCCUUAUACAGUACUACACCUUUGGAGCAGACAACAGAUACUCAGUAUCCUUACAAGAUUGGAUUCAGCUGGACUCAAUACUCCCCCUCUUCAACUCCGGUUUCCAGACUUGACCCCCCAUUUCCGCUCUGGUAUGUGGACAAGCGGGCCCUGAUCCAUCACUGAAAUGCUCAAGUUUGGUUAAAAUAAAACAGCUGAAAUUUGCAUCACGUUGAAGGAUGGUCCCUCACGGCGCAGACACAAUGGAGUUGCCGGGCCCCGUAAAGAAGAUCUUACAUUUUGUCUGCAGGACUAGAAAGGAAAUCCUGCUGUUGCGGUCCAAUGGUGAAUCAAAGGUCACCUGGGACUCAUAUUGUA